Long non-coding RNA from Oncorhynchus tshawytscha (Chinook salmon), 888 nucleotides. NCBI's taxonomy places the organism in Eukaryota, Metazoa, Chordata, Actinopteri, Salmoniformes, Salmonidae. The record is from Ensembl.
CAUGCAGUAGGUGGCGGCAUGCACAUUCAAAUUGUGUCAACGCCUUUAUACCAUAGAAUAAGAGAUGUAGAACGCGGAAGUUACGUUCCUGAUAGUUUUCCUCUCGUUCCCUGUCAACAAUUGACGAUAAUUAAUCUUAGCUACUCUACAACUUUCAAAGAUCCACCUACCACAUGGGCCUACUAUGGCUGAACCCAAGUCCAUGGAGUCCCCGGGUUCUGGCUGUGGUGUUCCAUCACAGAGAAGCUCACAGCAGGGUCCAGAGAUGGUCUCAGUGAAGCUGGAGGACUGCAGUCAACCACUGGAAGUCAAUGAGAUUGUGAUCGGGGAAGAGAGAGAACUUAAAGUAGAACUUAAAGAAGGAGAAGAAAGAGAGAGGAGUGAAAGAGGAAGCUGAGAUACAAGUCAAAGAAGAAGAGGAGAACAGAGAAGUGUCUGCUCCAGAUCUAGACGAAGAGGAGCAAGAAGUAGAUAGUAUCACUGACCCAGAGAUGAACGUACUUUGGUGCAAAAAGUGCAAAUCAAUCCCUGAACAACAGCAAAGGACUACUGCAAUUACAAGCAGGACUACUCCAUCCAGAUGCAGGAGAGAUCUCCAACCCAGGUUCAGACAGUGAGCCCAGUUCCACAGCAUCAGGAAACAAUAAACACAGACAGAGGAACUCAAGACAGAAACAUCACCACUGCAUGGACUGCUUCACUAGUUUCUAUGAGCCAAAGGAGUUGAAGACACACUUGUAGGCCCCAACCCUGCUCAGACUGCAGAGACAGUUUUAUUUGUCCAAUUGACCUUAAAUCACCCCAACAGACUCUCAAAAGAAAGAAAACUUACCCCUGUGAUCAAUGGGGGAAUAGCAAACUAAAGAUGUACCAAGUAACUCAAAGGGA